GACGAACGCUGGCGGCGUGCUUAACACAUGCAAGUCGAACGGAAAGGCCCUGCUUUUGUGGGGUGCUCGAGUGGCGAACGGGUGAGUAACACGUGAGUAACCUGCCCUUGACUUUGGGAUAACUUCAGGAAACUGGGGCUAAUACCGGAUAGGAGCUCCUGCUGCAUGGUGGGGGUUGGAAAGUUUCGGCGGUUGGGGAUGGACUCGCGGCUUAUCAGCUUGUUGGUGGGGUAGUGGCUUACCAAGGCUUUGACGGGUAGCCGGCCUGAGAGGGUGACCGGCCACAUUGGGACUGAGAUACGGCCCAGACUCCUACGGGAGGCAGCAGUGGGGAAUAUUGCACAAUGGGCGGAAGCCUGAAGCAGCAACGCCGCGUGCGGGAUGACGGCCUUCGGGUUGUAAACCGCUUUCGCCUGUGACGAAGCGUGAGUGACGGUAAUGGGUAAAGAAGCACCGGCUAACUACGUG
RNAcentral lists this ribosomal RNA (468 nucleotides) under uncultured bacterium. RNAcentral's name for it is "partial 16S ribosomal RNA". It matches the Rfam family "Bacterial small subunit ribosomal RNA", at positions 28 to 507 of the family's 1533-position model. The record is from RNAcentral.